RNAcentral lists this ribosomal RNA (254 nucleotides) under uncultured organism. RNAcentral describes it as "partial 16S ribosomal RNA". It matches the Rfam family "Bacterial small subunit ribosomal RNA", at positions 524 to 776 of the family's 1533-position model. The record is from RNAcentral.
UACAGAGGGUGCAAGCGUUAAUCGGAAUUACUGGGCGUAAAGGGUGCGUAGGUGGUUAUACGCUGUCGUUGGUGAAAUUUCUGGGCUUAACCUAGAAGCUGCUAACGAAACUGUAUGACUUGAGUAGAACAGAGGGAAGUGGAAUUUCCGGUGUAGCGGUGAAAUGCGUAGAUAUCGGAAGGAACACCAGUGGCGAAGGCGGCUUCCUGGGUUCAUACUGACACUGAUGCACGAAAGCGUGGGGAUCAAACAGG